UGGGGAAUAUUGCGCAAUGGGGGGAACCCUGACGCAGCCAUGCCGCGUGAAUGAAGAAGGCCUUCGGGUUGUAAAGUUCUUUCGGUAUUGAGGAAGGUUGAUGUGUUAAUAGCACAUCAAAUUGACGUUAAAUACAGAAGAAGCACCGGCUAACUCCGUGCCAGCAGCCGCGGUAAUACGGAGGGUGCGAGCGUUAAUCGGAAUAACUGGGCGUAAAGGGCACGCAGGCGGUUAUUUAAGUGAGGUGUGAAAGCCCUGGGCUUAACCUAGGAAUUGCAUUUCAGACUGGGUAACUAGAGUACUUUAGGGAGGGGUAGAAUUCCACGUGUAGCGGUGAAAUGCGUAGAGAUGUGGAGGAAUACCGAAGGCGAAGGCAGCCCCUUGGGAAUGUACUGACGCUCAUGUGCGAAAGCGUGGGGAGCAAACAGGAUUAGAUACCCUGGUAGUCCACGCUGUAAACGCUGUCGAUUUGGGGGUUGGGGUUUAACUCUGGCGCCCGUAGCUAACGUGAUAAAUCGACCGCCUGGGGAGUACGGCCGCAAGGU
Molecule: ribosomal RNA, 545 nt
Filed under: uncultured bacterium
Lineage: Bacteria
Description: bacterial SSU rRNA
Rfam family: Bacterial small subunit ribosomal RNA
Source: RNAcentral